GACCCAGGAGAUUGGUUUAAUCAAAUAAUGAUGUUUUUCAUUAUUCACGUUUUCCCCUAAACAGACCCUAAUGGUGACGACAUCGUGCGUAUGAUUCUAGCUGCCGAUCUUCAUCUUCCUCUGAUCUACCUUUUCAUUUACUCCUGUCAUUAACACAUAACAUCUUCUUUGCUUUGUAUUAAUUAUCUCCACUUGAUUUCAUGUUACUAAUUGUUGUGUAUGUUUGUUAGGGUUUUUCCAAUCCUAUUCUCUAUUUUGCCCAAAUCAAGAUAAGGGUUCUUUUAUUUUCGAUCAACGUUUAUUAUAUAAUGCAUCCAUCAAAGUAGCAAAUAUGUUAUUUUUUGGUUUCAAGUUCUCGGUUUCGCUUUAAUAAGGCCGAAUAACCGACCCGGAAAACCCAAGCUCGAACCGAAAUGCUUGCAGAUAAGAUUCACGGGAAAAUAAGUGAAGGUGACUUUGCUUUAUCAACUAGGUAAACAUAACUAAGGUGGCAACCGUUGAGUGAUAAAUGCCAUUCACUUUCUUCUUGUGCAAUCUAGAUAUAGUUUUAUCAGAGCUGUGAAACCAUAUCUCUUUAAGAUGCACUUCUCAACACCCAGGUGAUUCAUGCACCAACAACACUGUUGCAUCUGCUGCAAGCUAACAGGAGAAGGCUCUACGCGAAGCCUAGACCAAAACCCAAAACAGCACUAGAAAUGUUGCUGUUGCAAAGAUCUGGAAGCUUUUAGGUGAGCAGUUGCUACUCAAAGACACCCUGAAUGAUUCUGUUGUCUACAAAAAAGAUCAAAGAUAUCAUGGUAAGGUGAGAGGAAUCAGUGAUUUGUUAAGGCAACUUACUAACAGUUGAAAAACAAUUAUACUUAUAUUAGAAGUAAGAUGUCAGUUAAUGUUUUCUACAUGUCAGACUGAGACUGUAUUACGUUAAUAUGUUAUUUUAUUUAAUUAUAAUCUAAAGCUAUAUAGUAUUUUUAUUGGUUA
Long non-coding RNA from Helianthus annuus (common sunflower), 978 nucleotides. RefSeq lists it as uncharacterized. The transcript has 4 exons. Lineage: Eukaryota; Viridiplantae; Streptophyta; Magnoliopsida; Asterales; Asteraceae. The record is from RefSeq and is a predicted model, not a curated record.